RNAcentral lists this long non-coding RNA (1690 nucleotides) under Helianthus annuus (common sunflower). Its description in RNAcentral is "sRNA HanXRQr2_Chr17g0787061". The record is from RNAcentral. Lineage: Eukaryota; Viridiplantae; Streptophyta; Magnoliopsida; Asterales; Asteraceae.
GGGCUCGGCCCGGCUCGUUUACACCCCUAGAGAUAGGCAGACAGUGCACCUUUAAAAUGCCUUUUUCAGGAUCCGAAGCUAUAUCUGGAAUGUUAGAGCCAGCCAUCAGAUGAAAGAGGAGAAGAACAACAAGUUGUUCAUGUGGCAAUGCGAAAAAAGUCGAAAAAGUAACAAGAAUAUGUAAAGUGUUAUUCACAUUUUAAUAUUAGUAUUGUACCUUUCUGCUCCACCCAUAGCCUCCACCAUUUCUUUGCAAAGCUUCAUAGGUGGCGGGAAUGGCUUUGGAUCACGACCCAAAAUAAAACCGAAAUCAACAUGAAAAAGGCGCCCAUCAUCCCUAAGUAGAAGAUUAUCAAGGUUCAUGUCGUGUUUUCGGAUCGUGUCAGAAAUUCACACCCCUACUUGUGGGUCAACCCAACCAGCUCAUCUUAGCGCCCCUUGGAGCAUAUAUAAGAGUCACCUGUCUCCAAUGCCGAGUAUGUAUGUGAUCACCGAGUAGCCAGCACAACUUUUAAUGAACGUUUCAAGACACGUGGCAGUAAUCCCAAACGGUCCCUCUUCAUCCGGAUGAAACUUCUGCAAGUAGCUUGUGAUACUUCGGUGCUCUGAAAGAAUCUGAAAACAGAAAAAAAAUCAUAAGAACAUUACAGCAGGUGUCAAAAGACCAAAAUAACCACCGUUCACACCUGAGCUAACGUCUUGGAUGGUAUGAAUUCCAUCAUGCCUUCAUCAUGGCCAGUGGCUAACACCCUGUAAGGUGUUAAAUGUAGAUCAAGAUUUUCCAGUUUAAGCAAACGGUCCAUAAGUGAUACCAUUUGAACAACCUACACAAAUGACCCAACAGGAGAACAUACAUCAGUCUUUCUAUUCGGCCCGUAACAUUAGAAAACUGGAAAGAGAAAAGAUCAAAUUAUAUACCAACUGAUCCUGUCGAAGAUCAUCCCCUUUCUUGAAAAUGAUCUUCAAACAUCCACCGUCAGAUGUUCUAAACGCAAGGCGUAAAGGAUGCAACGCACUUUUAAAUAUUGAUGAAUCCGAUGGAAUAAUACCGGUGAUAAGAACAGUAGGUGCCAAAGGUGAUCGUAUAGGCUAAAAAUGUCACAGAUCAAGAUUUUAGUUACAUGUAUACUAAAAUUUAGAGGCUUCUAGAAUAUAUUACCUCCUCAAAGUACGUAAGUUCGCUAAGAAGGCCAGAAAGCAGACGCCGGAGCUUUUCGAUCUUCUUUUGAGUUCCGCCUCCAUUUCGUAGGUAGAAUAGAAACGUUUUGCAUAAGCAGGAUCACGAAGUUCAACAGCAACAUACCACCUAAGGAAGCUAGCAAUUUCGAUGUGGCGUACAACGUUGCACGAGAAAUUGAGAAAGACAAGAUUUAUCAGAGCGUUCAAACCGCAAAGCUUGAACCAGAUGAAGUAAAUAACACUGGAGUUCUUCAUCGUCAGCUCUUUCGAGAACACGGACAGCAUGUGCACGAACCUGUUGAUAUAAGUCAAAAUCAGAAUGCAACUGGUCACGUUUGUGUAUUUUCAACACACGCGACAUACCUCCUCACUCUCGAAAACAGGAGAUAACAGCUCUAAUGCAUCACAUACAUCGAUCAUUUCCCACCUACCCAUCAAUUCAAUGGCCUGCUUUGCUUCCUGAAAUACAAAAAAUAAAUUUUGUAAUUCAAUGUUUUUUUUUGUCUUCUUU